UGGGGUAUCGCCAAGCGGUAAGGCAACGGAUUCUGACUCCGUCACUCGCAGGUUCAAAUCCUGCUACCCUAGCCA
This 75-nucleotide transfer RNA is filed under the name Clostridiales bacterium. Its description in RNAcentral is "tRNA-Gln". It matches the Rfam family "tRNA". From Rfam's summary of the family: Transfer RNA (tRNA) molecules are approximately 80 nucleotides in length. Their secondary structure includes four short double-helical elements and three loops (D, anti-codon, and T loops). The record is from RNAcentral. Lineage: Bacteria; Bacillati; Bacillota; Clostridia; Eubacteriales. RNAcentral also lists the same sequence under 1 other name.